RNAcentral lists this long non-coding RNA (243 nucleotides) under Mytilus galloprovincialis (Mediterranean mussel). The record is from RNAcentral. Lineage: Eukaryota; Metazoa; Mollusca; Bivalvia; Mytilida; Mytilidae.
GGGGGGUAGAAGUUCAAUGUUUGUUUCUUGAAACAUAUAAAUGAACCAAAAUUUAAAAAAAUGAAGUAAAUACCAGACUAUAUAGCAAAGGUUACGGACUCAAGUUGGGUCAUGCAGGUGCAACAAAUGCGGCAGUGUUAAACAUGUUUAGGGAUAUCUCAUGCCCCUCUUUAUACGUCUAACCAAUGUAGUUAUUUCUGGCUUCUAUUUGUAAUGUAUCCAAAACGUUAAAAGGAAAGGCCA